CACCCGUUCCCAUACCGAACACGGAAGUUAAGCUCUUCAGCGCCGAUGGUAGUUGGGGGUUUCCCCCUGUGAGAGUAGGACAUCGCCAGGC
RNAcentral lists this ribosomal RNA (91 nucleotides) under Bacillus altitudinis. Lineage: Bacteria; Bacillati; Bacillota; Bacilli; Caryophanales; Bacillaceae. The record is from RNAcentral.